CGAACGAUCUGUAGCAAUACAGGGGAGUGGCGGACGGGUGAGGAACACGUAGGAAUCUACCUUGAAGAGCGGGACAACUUUGGGAAACCGGGGCUAAUACCGCAUAGUACAGAGAUGUUAAAGGGCUAGCAAUAGUCGCUUCGAGAUGAGCCUGCGGUCUAUCAGCUUGUUGGUGAGGUAAUGGCUCACCAAGGCUACGACGGAUAGCCGGUCUGAGAGGAUGAUCGGCCACACUGGCACUGAGACACGGGCCAGACUCCUACGGGAGGCAGCAGUUAAGAAUCUUGCGCAAUGGGGGAAACCCUGACGCAGCGACGCCGCGUGAAGGAUGAAGGCUUUCGGGUUGUAAACUUCGGUAGACUGGGAAGAAGAAAUACGUUCGUUGAGGGCGUAUAGUGACGGUACCAGUCUGAAGCCCCGGCUAAUUACGUG
This 432-nucleotide ribosomal RNA is filed under the name uncultured bacterium. RNAcentral's name for it is "bacterial SSU rRNA". It matches the Rfam family "Bacterial small subunit ribosomal RNA", at positions 63 to 507 of the family's 1533-position model. The record is from RNAcentral.